Molecule: long non-coding RNA, 572 nt
Organism: Lolium perenne
Lineage: Eukaryota; Viridiplantae; Streptophyta; Magnoliopsida; Poales; Poaceae
Source: RefSeq, a predicted model, not a curated record
CCCAACCCACCCAAUCAAUGAGGAGGCAGCCACCAUCCUCCCUCUUUAUAAGGAGCUUGGCCGGCCACACCUCCUCUCCUUUGCCUCAUUUCUUUUCACUCCCUACUAUUUCCUCCACUCCCUCACACUCUCCUCCUCCACUUCCCCACGAAAAUGGUGCUCCCCUUGCUCCCAUGGCCGGCCAUGGCUAUGGCAAGCCACCAAGAUGAAGCUCUCCCUCCUCCCUCAAGCUCCUCCUCACCAUGAGAGCCUCCCUCUCCUUCUUCUCCCCAACCCUAGAUGGUUUUCUCUCCUCUUCUUCUUCCUCCCUUGCUAAGAUUGGAUCUUGAUGCAGGUGCAUGUUGGUCCAAGCAUGGAGAAGCUUGAGCUAUCCUCAGAUCUGAAGUUCUUGAGCAAAAUCCAAAUCGAGUGGUUCAAAGUUCUGCAGAUAGGUAUUGAAAAGAUCUACAACUUGGCGUUGGUCUCAUCCUCAAAUUCCUUACGGAUUUUGCAUGAUCAAGAUCUGGUCAGAUCUGACUUUGUCGAAUUAAACCAGGAGCUUGGGGACGAAUUUUUGAAUGAAACCAACAGGG